RNAcentral lists this ribosomal RNA (292 nucleotides) under uncultured Metallibacterium sp. Its description in RNAcentral is "partial 16S ribosomal RNA". It matches the Rfam family "Bacterial small subunit ribosomal RNA", at positions 505 to 796 of the family's 1533-position model. Lineage: Bacteria; Pseudomonadati; Pseudomonadota; Gammaproteobacteria; Lysobacterales; Rhodanobacteraceae. The record is from RNAcentral.
GUGUCAGCAGCCGCGGUAAUACGGAGGGUGCAAGCGUUAAUCGGAAUUACUGGGCGUAAAGCGUGCGUAGGCGGUAAGUUAAGUCUGCUGUGAAAUCCCUGGGCUCAACCUGGGAAUUGCGUUGGUGACUGGCUUGCUGAAGUACGGUAGAGGAAGGUGGAAUUCCCGGUGUAGCGGUGAAAUGCGUAGAGAUCGGGAGGAACAUCAGUGGCGAAGGCGACCUUCUGGACUAGUACUGACGCUGAGGCACGAAAGCGUGGGGAGCAAACAGGAUUAGAAACCCUAGUAGUCC